GCGGCCGUGAUGGAAUUGGCAGUCAUGCUGGGUUUAGGUCCCAGUGCGCCACGCGCGCGUGAGGGUUCGAAUCCCUCCGGCCGCACCG
This 88-nucleotide transfer RNA is filed under the name Streptomyces marincola. RNAcentral's name for it is "tRNA-Leu". It matches the Rfam family "tRNA". Rfam says of the family: Transfer RNA (tRNA) molecules are approximately 80 nucleotides in length. Their secondary structure includes four short double-helical elements and three loops (D, anti-codon, and T loops). The record is from RNAcentral. Lineage: Bacteria; Bacillati; Actinomycetota; Actinomycetes; Kitasatosporales; Streptomycetaceae.